AUCGGCAUGGCUCCUCCCCCCAUGGGGCUUAAGACUGGGCCUGCAGGGGUCAUGCAGUGUUCCUGGGAGCUGGUGGUUUGGGGGUUUGGGGACUACCUGGCCCUCCAUGAGCCUGUUGUGGCUGUGCACCUUGUGGAAGCUGGUCUUCCUCCCUGGGGCACUCAGUCCUGGAUUUCUCCAUCCAAUAAGGAUUUGGCUGUGGCUGAAGCACCUGUCCUCUCCCCACAUGCCUCUCAACUCCACCUGCAGAGGGCUUCUUUGUGUGACAUGGAAGGAAACAGAGCCAUUCUCAGUGUGGCCUGGGAAGGGGUGGGGCCCACGACUGUCCAGUGGCCAGCGCAUCAGUGUCUGCAGAUGCUGUGUCAUGCGGCCACCCCAGCAGCUGAUUUUGCUGCCACACGCUCUAGGUGGUGGUCUGGAGGGAGAGGGUGCUGAUUUGUCUGUGUAGCUUCCAGGGGGCCAUGGCAGAGUGCCAGGGAGGGAGUCCAAGCCAGGUGUGGAGGAGCUCAGCUCCUGCCUCCUUCCCCAGAGGCCAACUGGUCUUGCCCUCUUCCUCCAGGGACUCUGUAAGCUCGGUUCGGCUGGAGGGACUGACUUCAGCAUGAAGCAGUUUGCUGAAGGCUCCACUCUCAAACUGGCUAAGCAGUGUCGAAAGUGGCUGUGCAAUGACCAGAUCGACGCAGGCACUCGGCGCUGGGCAGUGGAGGGCCUGGCUUACCUGACCUUUGAUGCCGACGUGAAGGAAGAGUUUGUGGAGGAUGCGGCUGCUCUGAAAGCUCUGUUCCAGCUCAGCAGGGUAGCUCUGUGGUUCCUGCCGUCAGCCUGGGGACACUGUCUAGGAUUAGACCUUACCAGGCUUUCUCGGCAGGGCUUGGCCAAUGGGGUCUUUUGACCCCAGGGAAGAGGGCUGGUGGCUGAGUGGCUGCUCUGUGUAGUGUGGGCAUGUUGGCCAGCACCAGUGGUGUUAGCAAGGAUGUUCUUCUUGGAGGAGCUGGGGAGGUCAAGUUUGUAAGCUCCCAAAGUCUGGGGCCUGGGAGUUUCCUGAAUUCAUCCUGUACCCAAGGGUCCCAGCUGAGGGUGGAAUUGGGGGCCUGGGCCUGGGCAGCAUUUAUCUGAGUACUGCUCUGCCCCGGGAUGCCCAUGUGAAUUCCUCUGUGUCCUGGCAGUCGGAGGAGAGGUCAGUGCUCUUUGCGGUGGCCUCAGCGCUGGUGAACUGCACCAACAGCUACGACUACGAGGAGCCCGACCCCAAGAUGGUGGAGCUGGCCAAGUAUGCCAAGCAGCAUGUGCCCGAGCAGCACCCCAAGGACAAGCCAAGCUUCGUGCGGGCUCGGGUGAAGAAGCUGCUGGUGGCGGGUGUGGUGUCGGCCAUGGUGUGCAUGGUGAAGACGGAGAGCCCUGUGCUGACCAGUUCCUGCAGAGAGCUGCUCUCCAGGGUCUUCUUGGCUUUAGUGGAAGAGGUAGAGGACCGAGGCACUGUGGUUGCCCAGGGAGGCGGCAGGGCGCUGAUCCCGCUGGCCCUGGAAGGCACGGACGUGGGGCAGACAAAGGCAGCCCAGGCCCUUGCCAAGCUCACCAUCACCUCCAACCCGGAGAUGACCUUCCCUGGCGAGCGGAUCUAUGAGGUGGUCCGGCCCCUCGUCUCCCUGUUGCACCUCAACUGCUCAGGCCUGCAGAACUUCGAGGCGCUCAUGGCCCUAACAAACCUGGCUGGGAUCAGCGAGAGGCUCCGGCAGAAGAUCCUGAAGGAGAAGGCUGUGCCCAUGAUAGAAGGCUACAUGUUUGAGGAGCAUGAGAUGAUCCGCCGGGCAGCCACGGAGUGCAUGUGUAACUUGGCCAUGAGCAAGGAGGUGCAGGACCUCUUCGAAGCCCAGGGCAAUGACCGACUGAAGCUGCUGGUGCUGUACAGUGGAGAGGAUGAUGAGCUGCUACAGCGGGCAGCUGCCGGGGGCUUGGCCAUGCUUACCUCCAUGCGGCCCACGCUCUGCAGCCGCAUUCCCCAAGUGACCACACACUGGCUGGAGAUCCUGCAGGCCCUGCUUCUGAGCUCCAACCAGGAGCUGCAGCACCGGGGUGCUGUGGUGGUGCUGAACAUGGUGGAGGCCUCGAGGGAGAUUGCCAGCACCCUGAUGGAGAGUGAGAUGAUGGAGAUCUUGUCAGUGCUAGCUAAGGGUGACCACAGCCCUGUCACAAGGGCUGCUGCAGCCUGCCUGGACAAAGCAGUGGAAUAUGGGCUUAUCCAACCCAACCAAGAUGGAGAGUGAGGGGGUUGUCCCUGGGCCCAAGGCUCAUGCACACGCUACCUAUUGUGGCACGGAGAGUAAGGACGGAAGCAGCUUUGGCUGGUGGUGGCUGGCAUGCCCAAUACUCUUGCCCAUCCUCGCUUGCUGCCCUAGGAUGUCCUCUGUUCUGAGUCAGCGGCCACGUUCAGUCACACAGCCCUGCUUGGCCAGCACUGCCUGCAGCCUCACUCAGAGGGGCCCUUUUUCUGUACUACUGUAGUCACCUGGGAAUGGGGAAGGUGCAUCCCAACACAGCCUGUGGAUCCUGGGGCAUCCGGAAGGGCGCACACAUCAGCAGCCUCACCAGCUGUGAGCCUGCUAUCAGGCCUGCCCCUCCAAUAAAAGUGUGUAGAACUCCA
RNAcentral lists this small RNA (2641 nucleotides) under Pan troglodytes (chimpanzee). RNAcentral's name for it is "retained intron". The record is from RNAcentral. Lineage: Eukaryota; Metazoa; Chordata; Mammalia; Primates; Hominidae.